UUCGGGCCUUUUCGAAGCUACUUGUUCUCUGUAGAUAAUGAUAGUCAAAAAAGGCCUAUAGUAUGAACCCUGUACGGUCGCGGUUCGGACUUUGUGUCUUUACCGUAUUACCAAACGGGGCUUACAUUU
Small nucleolar RNA from Cydia strobilella, 129 nucleotides. The record is from RefSeq and is a predicted model, not a curated record. Lineage: Eukaryota; Metazoa; Arthropoda; Insecta; Lepidoptera; Tortricidae.